UACGAAGGGGGCUAGCGUUGUUCGGAAUUACUGGGCGUAAAGCGUAUGUAGGCGGAUCGUUAAGUCGGGGGUGAAAUCCCGAGGCUCAACCUCGGAACUGCCUUCGAUACUGGCGAUCUUCGAGUCCGGGAGAGGUGAGUGGAACUCCGAGUGUAGAGGUGAAAUUCGUAGAUAUUCGGAAGAACACCAGUGGCGAAGGCGGCUCACUGGCCCGGUACUGACGCUGAAAUACGAAAGCGUGGGGAGCAAACGGG
This 254-nucleotide ribosomal RNA is filed under the name uncultured bacterium. Its description in RNAcentral is "partial 16S ribosomal RNA". It matches the Rfam family "Bacterial small subunit ribosomal RNA", at positions 524 to 776 of the family's 1533-position model. The record is from RNAcentral.